RNAcentral lists this ribosomal RNA (737 nucleotides) under Candidatus Synechococcus spongiarum. RNAcentral's name for it is "bacterial SSU rRNA". It matches the Rfam family "Bacterial small subunit ribosomal RNA", at positions 796 to 1533 of the family's 1533-position model. The record is from RNAcentral. Lineage: Bacteria; Bacillati; Cyanobacteriota; Cyanophyceae; Synechococcales; Synechococcaceae.
CUGGCCGUAAACGAUGAACACUAGAUGUUGGGGGAAUCGACCCCUCCAGUGUCGUAGCUAACGCGUUAAGUGUUCCGCCUGGGGAGUACGCACGCAAGUGUGAAACUCAAAGGAAUUGACGGGGGCCCGCACAAGCGGUGGAGUAUGUGGUUUAAUUCGAUGCAACGCGAAGAACCUUACCAAGGCUUGACAUCCUGCGAAUCUCCAAGAAAUUGGAGAGUGCCUUCGGGAACGCAGUGACAGGUGGUGCAUGGCUGUCGUCAGCUCGUGUCGUGAGAUGUUGGGUUAAGUCCCGCAACGAGCGCAACCCACGUUUUUAGUUGCCAGCAUUCAGUUGGGCACUCUAGAAAGACUGCCGGUGACAAACCGGAGGAAGGUGUGGACGACGUCAAGUCAUCAUGCCCCUUACGCCUUGGGCUACACACGUACUACAAUGCUGCGGACAAAGAGUAGCGAUCUUGCAAAAGUUAGCUAAUCUCGUAAACCGUGGCUCAGUUCAGAUCGUAGGCUGCAACUCGCCUACGUGAAGGAGGAAUCGCUAGUAAUCGCAGGUCAGCAUACUGCGGUGAAUACGUUCCCGGGCCUUGUACACACCGCCCGUCACACCAUGGAAGUUGGCCAUGCCCGAAGUCGUUACUCUAACCUUUUGGAAGAGGGCGCCGAAGGCAGGGCUAAUGACUGGGGUGAAGUCGUAACAAGGUAGCCGUAGCGGAAGCUGCGGCUGGAUCACCUCCUAA